This 399-nucleotide ribosomal RNA is filed under the name uncultured bacterium. Its description in RNAcentral is "bacterial SSU rRNA". It matches the Rfam family "Bacterial small subunit ribosomal RNA", at positions 355 to 751 of the family's 1533-position model. The record is from RNAcentral.
UAAGGAAUAUUGGUCAAUGGACGCAAGUCUGAACCAGCCAUGCCGCGUGAAGGAUGAAGGUCCUCAGGAUUGUAAACUUCUUUUAUCUGGGACGAAAAAGGGAUAUUCUUAUCCACUUGACGGUACCAGAGGAAUCAGCACCGGCUAACUCCGUGCCAGCAGCCGCGGUAAUACGGAGGGUGCAAGCGUUAUCCGGAUUCACUGGGUUUAAAGGGUGCGUAGGCGGGUAGGUAAGUCAGUGGUGAAAUCUUCGAGCUUAACUCGGAAAUUGCCGUUGAUACUAUCUAUCUUGAAUGUCGUUGAGGUUUGCGGAAUAUGUCAUGUAGCGGUGAAAUGCUUAGAGAUGACAUAGAACACCUAUUGCGAAGGCAGCAGGCUAAACGAUAAUUGACGCUGAGG